CAAAACUCAAAAACUUAACUUUGACCACUGAACCAUGAAAAUGAGGUCAAGGUCACAUGACAUCUGCCCGCUAGACAUGUAUAGCUUACAAUCAUUCCAUACAACAAAUAUAGUAGACCUAUUGCAUAUAGUAUGAGAAAAACAGCCCAAAACACAAAAAUUUAACUAUAACCACUGAACCAUGAAAAUGAGGUCAAGGUCAGAUGACACCUGCCAGUUGGACAUGUACACCUUACAGUCCUUCCAUAGACUGAAUAU
Molecule: long non-coding RNA, 258 nt
Filed under: Mytilus galloprovincialis (Mediterranean mussel)
Lineage: Eukaryota; Metazoa; Mollusca; Bivalvia; Mytilida; Mytilidae
Source: RNAcentral